UACGUAGGUGGCAAGCGAUACUCGGAAUCACUAGGCGUAAAGCGCAGGUAGGCGGUUCGGUAAGUCUUUUGUGAAAGCUCCCGGCUCAACUGGGAGAGGCCAAGGGAAACUGCUGGACUAGAGUGUGGUAGGGGAUACUGGAAUUCCUGGUGUAGCGGUGAAAUGCGUAGAUAUCAGGAGGAAUACCUAUGGCGAAAGCAGGUAUCUGGGCCAUCACUGACGCUGAGCUGCGAAAGCUAGGGGAGCAAACAGG
This 253-nucleotide ribosomal RNA is filed under the name uncultured bacterium. RNAcentral's name for it is "partial 16S ribosomal RNA". It matches the Rfam family "Bacterial small subunit ribosomal RNA", at positions 524 to 776 of the family's 1533-position model. The record is from RNAcentral.